GCCAGGCGUGGUGGCUCACGCCUGUAAUCCCAGCACUUUGGGAGGCCGAGGCGGGGGGAUCAUGAGGUCAGGAGAUCGAGACCAUCCUGGCUAACACGGUGAAACCCCAACUCUACUAAAAAAAAAAAAAAAAAAAAAANNNNNNNNNNUUUUUUUUUUUUUUUUUUUUUUAGUAGAGUUGGGGUUUCACCGGGUUAGCCAGGAUGGUCUUGAUCUCCUGACCUCGUGAUCCGCCCGUCUCGGC
This 244-nucleotide signal recognition particle RNA is filed under the name Chlorocebus sabaeus (green monkey). RNAcentral's name for it is "Metazoan signal recognition particle RNA". It matches the Rfam family "Metazoan signal recognition particle RNA". From Rfam's summary of the family: The signal recognition particle (SRP) is a universally conserved ribonucleoprotein. The record is from Rfam by way of RNAcentral. Lineage: Eukaryota; Metazoa; Chordata; Mammalia; Primates; Cercopithecidae.